Molecule: small nuclear RNA, 113 nt
Filed under: Cottoperca gobio
Lineage: Eukaryota; Metazoa; Chordata; Actinopteri; Perciformes; Bovichtidae
Description: U1 spliceosomal RNA (ENSCGOG00000017340.1)
Rfam family: U1 spliceosomal RNA
About the family: U1 is a small nuclear RNA (snRNA) component of the spliceosome (involved in pre-mRNA splicing). Its 5' end forms complementary base pairs with the 5' splice junction, thus defining the 5' donor site of an intron. There are significant differences in sequence and secondary structure between metazoan and yeast U1 snRNAs, the latter being much longer (568 nucleotides as compared to 164 nucleotides in human).
Source: RNAcentral
CCUUUUAACUGGCAGGGGAGAUACCAUGAAGCCAAGAAGAUGGUUCACCCAGGGCGAGGCUCAGCCAUUGCACUCCGGUUGUGCUGACCUCUACGAAUUCCCCGACUGCGUUC